CUUCCCAAAGUGCUGGGAUUACAGGUGUGAGCCACCACACCUGGCCAAAAAGUCAGCUUAAUUAAUUGCAGAUAUUCAAGCUCUAACAGCCUGGAGUUUCUUGGAAAAACAACAGAGGAGGUGCCAAAAUAGGCAUUUUGGGAAAAACGUCUGUUUUCCUCAUGAAACCCCAGGAAUUGGAAGUGGUUAGAUCCUUCUCAAAGUCUAAGGUUCUGUUCCAUUUUGCAUUGCGUUAUCUGAUGGUCUUUACUUUCCAGGGUAUCAGAAAUUACUUCACAUUAUGAGAUAACUUAGAUAUGUAAUAACUAGGUGGGAAAUAUACAUUUAGGGAUGGCUAGUGGCAGUUAUCGGGCAAUAUUCAGCUUUUUGCACACUUGAAUCAGAGAAGUGUGCUCUUGGUCAUUUAGAAGGUAUGGAAAUGUUCCCUCCCCUCACUGAGAGAUAAGACACUAAUGGGAGAUGGGCUGAAUCCCUCUUUUUGGGAUUCAGGUUCUAGUAUAAAAAUAGGAGUCAUAAUCUGGGGGGGAUUUGUUUUGCUUCCAGCUGUGCCUGCUUACUAGGAUGUAGACAUUGCUUGGUUUUUGUUUUCCUGGGCCCCUGUUCCUCCUAGGGAAUCACCUUGAAGCCAGGUUGGUAAUCCAAUUAAGAAACUGACAAAUGAAAAAUCUUACAGAUACUUGAUCUUCUUCCAUCUGCAUAUUUGUAUGUGUUGUGUAUGCAAUAUGAAAGAGUUUGAUUAAUUGGUUUAAAACUAAUAAGUGCAUAAAUCAAAUAUUUUAUCAGAAAAAUAGAAACCAUGGUGUGUUUUAGUUUAUAUGACUAGUAAUAUUUGGGAAAUAAAAACAGUUUUACAUGCUAGGUAUGUAAAAAAAGUAAAAUGGUUUUUAAUAAAAGAUUACAAGAAGUCAUGGGAAUGUGGAUUAGUUUUGGCCUAAAUUAAAGGGUUAAAGGAUUGUUUUAAAGUUAGACAAAAUAGAGCUGAAGGUUUAAGCAAGUUGUGAAAGGUUUGUAAAAAAUUAAAUCUUGUAAAAGAAAUUCUGUGUGUUAACAUAUUGGCCAAAGCUAAAGGGAUAUUCAAUUUUUUAAUAAAUUGAACACUGGAAUCAAAACACAACUGGUUUUCCUUAGAACACUGAUCUGCUCUUUCACAAAAAUUGUAGAGUAUUAUGAAAGGAUUAUAGGAAUCUUAAAUUAUGGUCAAACUGAUUAAGACUAGAUAGAUUUAUCUAUAAGAUUUUAUUAACAAUUAGGUUUGCUAUGAAUAGUGCGCUAAUACAAGGGCGAGAUUUAGCUUUUCCCUGUGAACAAGAUUUUCACAUAUUAUUUUAAAAAUGAAAGAUUUUUGUCUGCCCUUUUGAAUAAACUGGAGCAACAGG
Sapajus apella (tufted capuchin) is the source of this 1376-nucleotide long non-coding RNA. RefSeq lists it as uncharacterized. Lineage: Eukaryota; Metazoa; Chordata; Mammalia; Primates; Cebidae. The record is from RefSeq and is a predicted model, not a curated record. The transcript has 2 exons.